Molecule: long non-coding RNA, 675 nt
Organism: Lethenteron reissneri (Far Eastern brook lamprey)
Lineage: Eukaryota; Metazoa; Chordata; Hyperoartia; Petromyzontiformes; Petromyzontidae
Source: RefSeq, a predicted model, not a curated record
AAGCUGCUGCACCGCGCGCGCGCUCACUGAGAUCCGAGGGGAGAAGUUGACAUCGUGGUGGUUGUUGUUGUUGUGGUUGUUGUUGUUGUGGUGGUUGUUGUUGUUUACCCAGGUAGAGCCUCGCUCCGUCUCUCGUAGGGAUAUCAAUUGAGUAGCAGCGAGUAUGGAAUCCAUGUUCAGGUUUGGAAGAAAAACGGAAAACCCAGUGGAACACCAAUGCCGACGGUGACGGCCGACGCCAGGAUAGCGGCCACGGGCUUGAAGCGAGGGCAACCCGGCUCUUGUCCCAAGAAAGGAAUCCGCUCCCCGCUGCCCUCCACGGUGGCUGCACGCUGAGCCCCAACUUUCCCAGGAGUGUGCAGCGCACGAUCCGGGGCCUGUAGGCGGCUCACUUCAACCCCGACCACGCUGCCGUGUGUUGCACUCAAGAGUGACGUUACCGCUCCCCGUGUCCAGCAGAAUCCGGGUACGCCGCCUGUUCACCUGCCCUUCCACGAGCGACGUGGCCCCCAUUAUACCUGCCACCAGCUCCCGCAGCCAGUCACUCACAGUCGCCGCAUUCUGGGGUGUUGUUGUCGGCAUCUGUGUGGGGGUCACUCGCUCACCAUUAUCACGACAGUUUAUUUGUGUUGGGACCACGUGGAUUGCACUCCUCUGUGGUCCCCUCUUUAGGGA